AUUACCGCGGCUGCUGGCACGGAGUUAGCCGGUGCUUCUUCUGCGAGUAACGUCAAUGCACAGUGCUAUUAACACUGAACCCUUCCUCCUCGCUGAAAGUGCUUUACAACCCGAAGGCCUUCUUCACACACGCGGCAUGGCUGCAUCAGGCUUGCGCCCAUUGUGCAAUAUUCCCCACUGCUGCCUCCCGUAGG
RNAcentral lists this ribosomal RNA (194 nucleotides) under uncultured gamma proteobacterium WkA19. Its description in RNAcentral is "partial 16S ribosomal RNA". Lineage: Bacteria; Pseudomonadati; Pseudomonadota; Gammaproteobacteria. The record is from RNAcentral.